RNAcentral lists this ribosomal RNA (450 nucleotides) under uncultured bacterium. RNAcentral describes it as "partial 16S ribosomal RNA". It matches the Rfam family "Bacterial small subunit ribosomal RNA", at positions 354 to 796 of the family's 1533-position model. The record is from RNAcentral.
GUGGGGAAUCUUCCGCAAUGGACGAAAGUCUGACGGAGCAACGCCGCGUGAGUGAAGAAGGUUUUCGGAUCGUAAAGCUCUUUCGUUAGGGACGAACGUGCUCUUUGUGAAUAAUGAGGAGUAAUGACGGUACCUAAAUAAGAAGCCACGGCUAACUACGUGCCAGCAGCCGCGGUAAUACGUAGGUGGCAAGCGUUGUCCGGAAUUAUUGGGCGUAAAGCGCGCGCAGGCGGGAUAUCAAGUCUGUCUUAAAAGUGCGAGGCUCAACCUCGUGAGGGGACAGAAACUGGUAUUCUUGAGUGUCGGAGAGGAAAGUGGAAUUCCAAGUGUAGCGGUGAAAUGCGUAGAGAUUUGGAAGAACACCAGUGGCGAAGGCGACUUUCUGGACGAUGUCUGACGCUGAGGCGCGAAAGCUAGUGGAGCAAACAGGAUUAGAAACCCGAGUAGUCC